GAGCACUGUUUCGGCAAGGGGGUCAUCCCGACUUACCAACCCGAUGCAAACUGCGAAUACCGGAGAAUGUUAUCACGGGAGACACACGGCGGGUGCUAACGUCCGUCGUGAAGAGGGAAACAACCCAGACCGCCAGCUAAGGUCCCAAAGUCAUGGUUAAGUGGGAAACGAUGUGGGAAGGCCCAGACAGCCAGGAUGUUGGCUUAGAAGCAGCCAUCAUUUAAAGAAAGCGUAAUAGCUCACUGGUCGAGUCGGCCUGCGCGGAAGAUGUAACGGGGCUAAACCAUGCACCGAAGCUGCGGCAGCGACGCUGAUGCGUUGUUGGGUAGGGGAGCGUUCUGUAAGCCUGUGAAGGUGUGCUGUGAGGCAUGCUGGAGGUAUCAGAAGUGCGAAUGCUGACAUAAGUAACGAUAAAGCGGGUGAAAAGCCCGCUCGCCGGAAGACCAAGGGUUCCUGUCCAACGUUAAUCGGGGCAGGGUGAGUCGACCCCUAAGGCGAGGCCGAAAGGCGUAGUCGAUGGGAAACAGGUUAAUAUUCCUGUACUUGGUGUUACUG
This 555-nucleotide ribosomal RNA is filed under the name Escherichia coli. RNAcentral's name for it is "bacterial LSU rRNA". It matches the Rfam family "Bacterial large subunit ribosomal RNA", at positions 905 to 1456 of the family's 2925-position model. RNAcentral also lists the same sequence under 1 other name. Lineage: Bacteria; Pseudomonadati; Pseudomonadota; Gammaproteobacteria; Enterobacterales; Enterobacteriaceae. The record is from RNAcentral.